This 73-nucleotide transfer RNA is filed under the name Microbacterium sp. 13-71-7. Its description in RNAcentral is "tRNA-Trp". It matches the Rfam family "tRNA". Rfam says of the family: Transfer RNA (tRNA) molecules are approximately 80 nucleotides in length. Their secondary structure includes four short double-helical elements and three loops (D, anti-codon, and T loops). The record is from RNAcentral. Lineage: Bacteria; Bacillati; Actinomycetota; Actinomycetes; Micrococcales; Microbacteriaceae.
AGGGGCGUCGCCUAGCGGCCUAGGGCACCGGUCUCCAAAACCGGCAUCGCAGGUUCAAAUCCUGCCGCCUCUG